ACGCUCACUUCGAUAUCAUAAUACACGGAACGCAAACUUGAAACAGGUCUUGAGCCGGUGAUUCACUAUGGGAUUCGGGAAAACAAAUGACAACGAUUGCCACUUUUGAAAGGUUUGUAUUCUAUAUCCCAACUUCGUAUGGGUAUAUAGGAAACAAAGCCUUACUAAGUUUUAUGUUAAAACUAUCUUUUGUGAUGUGUAAAAACAAACUGAUAACUAUGUUAUGUCUAAGGUUUUGAACAUGUAUGGUACUUGAAACUACUUUUGGGAAAAUAUGUAAAUAUUCGUUGGAAGUUAUAUAUCUAUGGCAUCGUUGUUGGUU
This is a long non-coding RNA of Helianthus annuus (common sunflower), 322 nucleotides long. RefSeq lists it as uncharacterized. The record is from RefSeq and is a predicted model, not a curated record. The transcript is spliced from 2 exons. NCBI's taxonomy places the organism in Eukaryota, Viridiplantae, Streptophyta, Magnoliopsida, Asterales, Asteraceae.